AUACGUAGGGGACGAGCGUUGUCCGGAAUUACUGGGCGUAAAGGGAGCGCAGGCGGAUAUUUAAGUCAGCUGUAAAAGGCAUGAGCUCAACUCAUGUAUGCGGUUGAAACCGGGUAUCUAGAGUGCUGGAGAGGUAGGCGGAAUUCCCGGUGGUGCGGUGAAAUGCGUAGAUAUCGGGAAGAACACCAGUGGCGAAGGCGGCUUACUGGACAGCAGCUGACGCUGAGGCGCGAAAGCCAGGGGAGCGAACGGGAUUAGAUCCCCCGGUAGUCCUGGCCGUAAACGAUGAAUGCUAGGUGUGGGUGUCGAGAGGCAUCCGUGCCGGAGUUAACGCGAUAAGCAUUCCGCCUGGGGAGUACGAUCGCAAGAUUGAAACUCAAAGGAAUUGACGGGG
This 394-nucleotide ribosomal RNA is filed under the name uncultured bacterium. RNAcentral describes it as "partial 16S ribosomal RNA". It matches the Rfam family "Bacterial small subunit ribosomal RNA", at positions 523 to 918 of the family's 1533-position model. The record is from RNAcentral.